This is a long non-coding RNA of Microplitis mediator, 1801 nucleotides long. RefSeq lists it as uncharacterized. The record is from RefSeq and is a predicted model, not a curated record. NCBI's taxonomy places the organism in Eukaryota, Metazoa, Arthropoda, Insecta, Hymenoptera, Braconidae. The transcript has 5 exons.
GAGUGGUGUUUUAUGCACUAGAGAGCGCUUUCAUUAUCCGACACAGCCUUGUAUGCAGAAGCAACGAGGCCCAAUGCGUAAUAUUAUUUUACCCAUGACGAAUGAAUGAGCGAGUUUGGAUUAACUAUUAACUACCCUAAUGACUACUUAGCUUGAAAUUGACAAUAAUUUGACAAUGAAAUUACCUAAAAUUUGCUGCCCGAAUUUGCUGACAGUUUGACAGCGAAGGUUAAAUCGAAAAAUUUACGAUUAAUUUUUCCUCAAUUUAAAGGUAACUUUUUUUACUAGAAACAAAAUCCAAUUAGCGCAGUUUGCCUAGCAAAAGUUUAACUUUACGAAAAAAUCCUUAAAUUUUUCGUCAAAUGUCGGUCAACUUUAAGCUUUUCUGUUUUUGACGACAAUUUGUAUACAACUUUUGAAGUAAAUUAGCAUUUUAACUCAGAAAGUAAAUUCACGUCAAAUUGUAUGGCAAGUUGUACACCAAUUAUCGUCAAAAACGAAAAAGCCCGAAAUUGACGGUCAUUUGACAAAAAAUUCCAGGAAACUUUUAUAAAGAAAACUUUUGUUUAGCAAACUCCCUAAUAGCGACUUUAGCUUGAAAUUGACACUAAUUUGAGAUUGAAAUUGCCUGAAAUUUGUUGCCCGAAUUUCCUGACAAUUUGACAGCAGAAGUUGGAAAGAAAAAUUUUCGGUUAAUUUUCGUUCAAUUUAGAAGUAACUUUUUAGGAGAAAAAAAAGUCGGUAAUGUUAAUUCUUACCAUUUCAGAAGGUAAGCAAAAUCAUAAAUCAAAUUUUCUACAAUUUCACGGUAAAAAAAUACUUUACAAUUUUUUAAGUCAAAUUAACCAUGAAUUGAAGUAAAAAUAUGCUUAAAAAUUGACGACAACUUUUUUCUAGUCAACUUUUAAAGUGAAUUUGGAUUCUAAAUCGGGCAGAGUAAAUUGGCGUCAAAUUGAAUAUCAAGUUGCAUACAAAUAGUCGUAAAAAACGGAAAAGUCCGAAGUUGACGGAUAUUUGACGAAAAAUUCAAGGAAACUUUUUUUUAAGCUGUAAUGAAUGUAAGCUCGGUUUAUGCUGCCACCAGCAAGUAUGGUUUCCAAACCGCUGCCUAAGAAGGAAGCCAAAUUAGAAAGGGCCUCGCAACUGCGUUACUUUUGGGAUCUUGACCUAGUUUGGUUGCCUCAUUUCCCGCAAGUCUGGAAUUUGGCAUGCCUUAUUUGGGCCUAAUCACUGCCUAACUAAAAUUUCUAGUCGGGAUGUUAGUUAUUUAUCUUGUUCAACUAUUCAUUUUUUAAAAAUACUUACGAUAGCUUUGUUGUCAAGUUGAUAUUUGUGAUAAUAAAUAAUAAAACUUAUAUAAGAUGUUGGAAUAUUUCUUGUGACAUUGGUCAAAGUUACUGCUGACGCAAACGAGUUUUUCUGGUAUAAAAAUGUCCGUUUUUCUGUGAUUGGUAUGCAGAAGCUCACAGAAACUCAUCGAAGCAUUACUGUCCAGUUUGGGAAAAAUCGAAAAUGUCGAAAUAUAUUUCAUUGUUAGUUAUCCUCAUGUUUGUAAGCCUUUAUGUCUGUGCAGUCGAAGGAUGUGCCGGCAAAUGGUGUCAUCCGAUUCAAGGUUACCCCUGCUGUGACGGCUACAAAUGUAACAAUGGACAUUGGAUGCAAGGAAACUGCGAUGUAAAUACUGCGAGAAAGGUACCGGUGGGCUAGUCCUUGACAGUAGAAAAAAAAUUGUAUCAAUGGCAUGAAGAAAUAAAUGUUAUUGUACAAUAAUAAAAAUGAAAUAAAUUAACCCAUGAAAAAA